UACGAAGGGGGCUAGCGUUGCUCGGAAUCACUGGGCGUAAAGGGUGCGUAGGCGGGUCUUUAAGUCAGGGGUGAAAUCCUGGAGCUCAACUCCAGAACUGCCUUUGAUACUGAGGAUCUUGAGUUCGGGAGAGGUGAGUGGAACCGCGAGUGUAGAGGUGAAAUUCGUAGAUAUUCGGAAGAACACCAGUGGCGAAGGCGACACACUGGCCCAAUACUGACGCUGAGGCUCGAAAGCGUGGGGAGCAAACGGG
RNAcentral lists this ribosomal RNA (253 nucleotides) under uncultured bacterium. RNAcentral describes it as "partial 16S ribosomal RNA". It matches the Rfam family "Bacterial small subunit ribosomal RNA", at positions 524 to 776 of the family's 1533-position model. The record is from RNAcentral.